AAGAGUAUGUAUCCAGAUCAGACUUAGCAGAUGCAUAGGCUGAUCUGCAUCCAGGUGGUUGCAAAUGCAGUAUGUUGGUUUUCUCAUAGGGCGGCUCAUUUAUUGAGCAUAUCUUCAUCAUCUUGUGAUGCUAAAUAUAUUAGUAAUAUUGUAAUAAUUUCAGGUUCCAGGCUUUCCCACUUGGUUUAACAUUAAAUAUAGCGGGGAUCGAGCGGUCUAUACGUAUGAGCUACUGGUGGAUCAGAAAAUUGGAUGUUUGAAACUGCUUGUUUAAGGGCUGUGUAUAUUGCCAGAUACAGACAAGAUGCACUCUGACGAGAGGACUACUAAUGGAUGGGUUGCAGAGAUGCAGAUAUCAAAGUGUAUAGACUUAACUGGUCAUAAAAUAGAUAUAGUUAAAUUCAUGUUGUUGCUUUUUCGGUGAGAUGUUGUUGGAUCAAAUCUGUAGAUGACUGUUCACUUAAAGUACAAAAACUAUGUUUGGACAUUUGGGGGAAAAAACAACACAAAAACAGUAUGGAUGAUAAAGCACAAAGAUAUGUAUUAAGAUUCGUGCCUUCCUUGUGUUUGAUGUGGCUUUAUUGUUUGAAUUAUUAUAUCUUAUUUUCAUAUGGAAUGACUAUUUUUCCAUAAUAUGUCUAUGUGUUGUCAAUAUUAUGAAUAUAUGAUGCAUUAUGAAAUAAAUAGUUGGCACUGAAAUGUUAAAACUAAGUUUUCUCAGAAUAAAGUCUUACAUUUAAGC
Long non-coding RNA from Mercenaria mercenaria, 742 nucleotides. RefSeq lists it as uncharacterized. Lineage: Eukaryota; Metazoa; Mollusca; Bivalvia; Venerida; Veneridae. The transcript is spliced from 2 exons. The record is from RefSeq and is a predicted model, not a curated record.